RNAcentral lists this ribosomal RNA (492 nucleotides) under uncultured bacterium. RNAcentral's name for it is "partial 16S ribosomal RNA". It matches the Rfam family "Bacterial small subunit ribosomal RNA", at positions 29 to 507 of the family's 1533-position model. The record is from RNAcentral.
AGUGAACGCUGGCGGUAGGCCUAACACAUGCAAGUCGAACGGCAGCACAGUAAGAGCUUGCUCUUACGGGUGGCGAGUGGCGGACGGGUGAGGAAUACAUCGGAAUCUACCUUUUCGUGGGGGAUAACGUAGGGAAACUUACGCUAAUACCGCAUACGACCUACGGGUGAAAGCAGGGGAUCUUCGGACCUUGCGCGAUUGAAUGAGCCGAUGUCGGAUUAGCUAGUUGGCGGGGUAAAGGCCCACCAAGGCGACGAUCCGUAGCUGGUCUGAGAGGAUGAUCAGCCACACUGGAACUGAGACACGGUCCAGACUCCUACGGGAGGCAGCAGUGGGGAAUAUUGGACAAUGGGCGCAAGCCUGAUCCAGCCAUACCGCGUGGGUGAAGAAGGCCUUCGGGUUGUAAAGCCCUUUUGUUGGGAAAGAAAAGAAGCAGGUUAAUACCCCGCUGUUCUGACGGUACCCAAAGAAUAAGCACCGGCUAACUUCGUG